Molecule: unclassified non-coding RNA, 294 nt
Filed under: uncultured fungus
Lineage: Eukaryota; Fungi
Description: sequence contains ITS1
Source: RNAcentral
UGGGACUACCGGGGUUUCUAAUCCCGUUCGCUCCCCUAGCUUUCGUGCCUCAGCGUCAGAAGAGACCCAGUGAGCCGCCUUCGCCACGGGUGUUCCUGAUGAUAUCAACGCAUUUCACCGCUCCACCAUCAGUUCCGCUCACCUCUGUCUCCCUCAAGCCUUGUGGUUUGAAGCGCAGUUCCACGGUUGGGCCGUGGGAUUUCACACCUCACCUACAAAGCCGCCUACGCACUCUUUAAGCCCAGUAAUUCCGAAUAACGUUCGUCCGGUACGUGUUACCGCGGCUGCUGGCAC